GGCCUUCGGGUUGUAAAGCUCUUUUGUCAGGGAAGAAACGGGUGAGGCUAAUAUCCUUGCCUAAUGACGGUACCUGAAGAAUAAGCACCGGCUAACUACGUGCCAGCAGCCGCGGUAAUACGUAGGGUGCAAGCGUUAAUCGGAAUUACUGGGCGUAAAGCGUGCGCAGGCGGUUGUGCAAGACAGAUGUGAAAUCCCCGGGCUCAACCUGGGAAUUGCAUUUGUGACUGCACAGCUAGAGUGUGUCAGAGGGGGGUAGAAUUCCACGUGUAGCAGUGAAAUGCGUAGAUAUGUGGAGGAAUACCGAUGGCGAAGGCAGCCCCCUGGGAUAACACUGACGCUCAUGCACGAAAGCGUGGGGAGCAAACAGGAUUAGAUACCCUGGUAGUCCACGCCCUAAACGAUGUCUACUAGUUGUCGGGUCUUAAUUGACUUGGUAACGCAG
Molecule: ribosomal RNA, 445 nt
Filed under: Oxalobacteraceae bacterium
Lineage: Bacteria; Pseudomonadati; Pseudomonadota; Betaproteobacteria; Burkholderiales; Oxalobacteraceae
Description: bacterial SSU rRNA
Rfam family: Bacterial small subunit ribosomal RNA
Source: RNAcentral